GAUCCACCCCCAAAGGGAAAUGCCAACAGAAGAGCUUCUAUUUCUUGAAAGGAAAAAUGGAUUCCUUUUAGAGUCUAAUAAGCAGGAAUCUGGGCAGCUCUGGCUCUAUCCUACUAUGCAUUGUGAUGUUGGGGUAAGAUUUAAACUAUCAAAAUCCUAAAAUCAUCAUCCCAGAAAGGCAAACCUGGGGUGAAGUGUGACUGUUUAUCUCUUUAACUUGAAGACAUUUCAAGACACCUUCAUCCAUAUUUUCUUUUCUUUUUAAAUCCAUAUUUUCUUAAUCCCCAUAGUUUUCUUCCUCCUGGAAGCUAGGACUAAAGGAGACACUCUACUGGAAGAGUAACUACCCGGAGAGCGAAGGGACUGAGCAGGAACGAAGCGAAGAACUCGGGCCUGGCCAGGGAUGCUCCCGGUCUCUGCCUCCGGCGGGGAGCGCCCGGCAGAGCCGGACCAAGGCAGGAAGCAGGUUUCCAGCCGGAGCUGAGCCCGCUUCUUCCAAAGCCCUGUGGCUGCGCACCCCUGACGCUGCCUGAGUCCGGUCGGUGGCAGGUGCGGCGGGGGAGUCCCCGAAGGAGAAGGGGGCGGAGGGCAAAGGUCAAAGCCAGGCUUCCGGCGGGCCGGGGAGCCCACACCCAGGGCAGGAGGGAGGGGUUAGGGCGGGCCGGGGCCGAACUGAGCCCCCAAGGGCGGAACCGCGCCGACGGAGAGCAAACCCUCUGUUGUCUAAUCGAGAACCAGAUUAAGAGCCAAGGAGGAAAAAAAGGCAAGAAGGCGUUCUUCAGAUUGGAAGGAUCUAACUCAACACCCCAGUCUCCUGGCCAGUGGCCAAGGACACUGGUUCUUUUCAAGGCACCUUUCUACCUCUGGACCACCUCAGCCCUUGGAUUUAUGCGGUUGCUAGAAAGGUCUAGAAAGUCAAAGAAGCUACUCCCUUUGUAA
Molecule: long non-coding RNA, 939 nt
Filed under: Cervus hanglu yarkandensis (Yarkand deer)
Lineage: Eukaryota; Metazoa; Chordata; Mammalia; Artiodactyla; Cervidae
Description: lncRNA (ENSCHYG00000024397.1)
Source: RNAcentral